AGAAGCUUCCUUUGCUAGGCAUUAGUGGUAUCAUUAUAGUAUUAGAUGUAAGGAUAAUUGAUGGCAAUUGUGAUGUGAGCAGUACAUUGUGACAGACAAUUGGAGUGUUUAUCUGUAGAUUAUUUUAGAAUUUCAAAUGAAUUCAUCCCAAAUAAACAUUCCAUCUGAUUUUUAAACAUCUAGGGUAUACUAAAUCAGGUCCUCCGAUGAUUCACAUACUCAAACCAUAUCCAUCCAAAUGUAUGUUAUAAGCAAUUAUUAAACAUGAAAUGGCAAGCAUAAAAUAAAUAAAAAUAAAAGAAUAAACACUGUAAGACCAUAAUUAAUCUGUAAAACAAAGUAGUAGGGUCAAGUGUUUACAAGGCUAUCGGCAUCAAAUAUUCUCACAUUAAAAAGAUUGUCGAAGGCUUAUACCACCCCUCUCAAACAAACUUUUUACUGGUUGGGCUAGUCUAUUCAGAUCAAGGUGGUCAAUUGAAACAUUAGUAGUCACAUAUGGCUAUGAGUCCAUUAGACUCCAUGUAUAUGGAGCUAAUGUAUAGUUUAUGUAAUCUCCAUAAGCACUUAUUUCUCACCUGUGACAACACUGUUUUCAUAGAGAUUGCCUAGCCCUGUUAAGAGUUGUUUCGUCAGUGUAUGUUGGAUCUUUAAAAUUAACGUUUGUCCAUUUUGUUUAUAAUCAAUUAUUUACUAUUUUUGUGGUUUGCUUGUUUCUCUAAAUAUUAUAAAGGUGUCCAAGCUUGAGGCUCUGGGUGUGGAGACGGCCAUUUUGUCCUUUGACAGUCAAAAGGCCAGCUUAGAGGUCUUUGAAAUGAGUAGCAAAAAAAGCCACUGUGUUCCUUGACUCAACGGACACAGUGAACAAUUUUGCACUGCAUUUCAAAGCCAGCUCCUCAGCCGCAACACCUACUACUAAAGAGCCCAUCAGUGUGCUUUUGAAAAAAGUACAAGAUCUUUUCAAGCAAGAUAUAAGGAGGCCGGAGGUACUGGAAGGCUCCCCUACCAGUCCAUUGUGAAUAACGAUGAUGUAACAAUCAAAGUUGCUGGGCUGCCCAUUGGACUUCAUAUCAAGAAGCCCUCCUUCUACGGAAGAAACCAAUUAGAGGCCAUUUUGGCAGCUGCCGAGCAAAUUUCAUUUGAAAUAAAUACAGCACAAUGCAACCCCACUGACAUGGCAGAGGGAAUGUCCGAGCACAUGGACGCAGAAGCUACGCUGAGUUGUUUUAUUACCUCCUGGGAACUGCCAAGACACAACAGUUUGCAUCCAAAAGAAGUCAGUGGAACAGAUCUUUGAGGCUAUGUGUGGAAAUGGUGCACAGCAGAUGGAAGGAGAGUCCUCAGAAACAGCCACUAAUGUAGCCAUUGUGAUGACUGAAGAUGAAGAUGGAGGCAAUUUGUGCUGUGUCUGGCGCAUCCAUUUUGACAACCAGAAGAAGAAUGCUACAAAGAAGUGGCCUUCAUGGUCUCAGUGCUCAGUGUGUCAAUCAUGGUCCCACACUGCUUGUGGUUUUAAAAGAAGCAUGUGCCUUUAUUGCCAGGGUCAACACACCAUGCAAACACCCUGAUUUCUAGUAGUCUAUAUCUAGGUCCAUUGCCACCGAAAAUUCCACGGAUGUCCCUCAUUUUCAGCUGAUGUCCGUCCCCUUCCUGUUUCUUUGUGUUGACAGCUAGCUAGACUAUCUGUCCAAUCUGAGUUUUCUGUUGAAUACAAAUAUUUACGUACGAACGUACACAAGUUUGAGGUGUUUUUACUGUGUUGAUGGCCCCGACUGCAUCCCUACAAACACACACUCCGUUUAAAAAGAACCCUGGAGUGUUUGGUCGGAAAGUCCGGCUUGAGUGAAAGCUCAUCUGAACUCUGGUGCAUGUCUGUAUGGAUUGUAUAUAUGUAUACGGAUUUGGCCGGCAGCCUUGAGUUGACACUUGAUUUAAAGCCUGUUAACAUUUAUUAGGUGCCUGUUCAUCAUUUUCAUUAAAAUAGACUCCUUGUGAAUCUUGCCUCUACAUGCCUUUGGAUUACACUUAUAUAUUUUAAUUUACCCUAGUUAAAAUUCUUUGUACUUUAUUGUUGUUUAUUGACUCCAUCAAUGUGGUCCCUUUCAAACCGUACAAUGUGGGGAACAUUUAAAGUUAUAUUGUACUGAAUUGAGUACACAUGUU
Molecule: long non-coding RNA, 2160 nt
Organism: Perca flavescens (yellow perch)
Lineage: Eukaryota; Metazoa; Chordata; Actinopteri; Perciformes; Percidae
Exons: 7
Source: RefSeq, a predicted model, not a curated record